Molecule: ribosomal RNA, 442 nt
Filed under: uncultured bacterium
Lineage: Bacteria
Description: partial 16S ribosomal RNA
Rfam family: Bacterial small subunit ribosomal RNA
Source: RNAcentral
CCUACGGGUGGCAGCAGUGGGGAAUAUUGGGCAAUGGACGCAAGUCUGACCCAGCAACGCCGCGUGAAGGAAGAAGGCUUUCGGGUUGUAAACUUCUUUUAAGGGGGAAGAGCAGAAGACGAUACCCAUUGAAUAAGCCACGGCUAACGACGUGCAAGCAGCCGGGGUAAUACGUAGGUGGCAAGCGGUGUCCGGAUUUACGGGGUGGAAAGGGCGUGCAGCCGGAGAGACAAGGAAGAUGUGAAAUCCACGGGCUCAACCCGUGAACUGCAUUUGAAACUGUUUCCCUUGAGUGUCGUAGAGUUCAUCGGAAUUCCUUGUGUAGCGGUGACAUGCGUAGAUAUCAGGAAGAACACCAGUGGCGAAGGCGGUUUACUGGACGAUAACUGACGGUGCGGCGCGAAAGCGUGGGGAGCAAACAGGAUUAGAUACCCUAGUAGUC